This 25-nucleotide non-coding RNA is filed under the name Mus musculus (house mouse). Lineage: Eukaryota; Metazoa; Chordata; Mammalia; Rodentia; Muridae. The record is from RNAcentral.
UCAGAAGCUGGACUGUGUUAGACCA